This 449-nucleotide ribosomal RNA is filed under the name uncultured bacterium. RNAcentral describes it as "bacterial SSU rRNA". It matches the Rfam family "Bacterial small subunit ribosomal RNA", at positions 29 to 521 of the family's 1533-position model. The record is from RNAcentral.
AGCGAACGCUGGCGGCAGGCUUAACACAUGCAAGUCGAGCGGGCGUAGCAAUACGUCAGCGGCAGACGGGUGAGUAACGCGUGGGAACGUACCUUUUGGUUCGGAACAACCCAGGGAAACUUGGGCUAAUACCGGAUAAGCCCUUACGGGGAAAGAUUUAUCGCCGAAAGAUCGGCCCGCGUCUGAUUAGCUAGUUGGUGAGGUAACGGCUCACCAAGGCGACGAUCAGUAGCUGGUCUGAGAGGAUGAUCAGCCACAUUGGGACUGAGACACGGCCCAAACUCCUACGGGAGGCAGCAGUGGGGAAUAUUGGACAAUGGGCGCAAGCCUGAUCCAGCCAUGCCGCGUGAGUGAUGAAGGCCCUAGGGUUGUAAAGCUCUUUUGUGCGGGAAGAUAAUGACGGUACCGCAAGAAUAAGCCCCGGCUAACUUCGUGCCAGCCGCCGCAGU